This 314-nucleotide unclassified non-coding RNA is filed under the name plant metagenome. RNAcentral's name for it is "partial contains 5.8S ribosomal RNA, internal transcribed spacer 2, and large subunit ribosomal RNA". The stretch from base 1 to 105 matches the Rfam family "5.8S ribosomal RNA", at positions 50 to 154 of the family's 154-position model. The record is from RNAcentral.
GAAAUGCGAUAAUUAAUUUGAAUUGCAGAAUUCAGUGAAUCAUCGAGUCUUUGAACGCACAUUGCGCCCCCUGGUAUUCCGGGGGGCAUGCCUGUCCGAGCGUCAUUGCUGCCCUCAAGCACGGCUUGUGUGUUGGGCUUCCGUCCCUGGCAACGGGGACGGGCCCAAAAGGCAGUGGCGGCACCAUGUCUGGUCCUCGAGCGUAUGGGGCUUUGUCACCCGCUCCCGUAGGUCCAGCUGGCAGCUAGCCUCGCAACCAAUCUUUUUAACCAGGUUGACCUCGGAUCAGGUAGGGAUACCCGCUGAACUUAAGC